Molecule: ribosomal RNA, 468 nt
Filed under: uncultured bacterium
Lineage: Bacteria
Description: partial 16S ribosomal RNA
Rfam family: Bacterial small subunit ribosomal RNA
Source: RNAcentral
GACGAACGCUGGCGGCGUGCUUAACACAUGCAAGUCGAACGGAAAGGCCCUGCUUUUGUGGGGUGCUCGAGUGGCGAACGGGUGAGUAACACGUGAGUAACCUGCCCUUGACUUUGGGAUAACUUCAGGAAACUGGGGCUAAUACCGGAUAGGAGCUCCUGCUGCAUGGUGGGGGUUGGAAAGUUUCGGCGGUUGUGGAUGGACUCGCGGCUUAUCAGCUUGUUGGUGGGGUAGUGGCUUACCAAGGCUUUGACGGGUAGCCGGCCUGAGAGGGUGACCGGCGACAUUGGGACUGAGAUACGGCCCAGACUCCUACGGGAGGCAGAAGUGGGGAAUAUUGCACAAUGGGCGGAAGCCUGAUGCAGCAACGCCGCGUGCGGGAUGACGGCCUUCGGGUUGUGAACCGCUUUCGCCUGUGACGAAGCGUGAGUGACGGUAAUGGGUAAAGAAGCACCGGCUAACUACGUG